UUCGUUGGUGACUCCCUCCCCCAUACCCUUUCCCUUUCCUCCCUUGCAAGUGUUCCCUUCCCUUAGCAAGCUGAGGGCAGCAGGGGCCUGCAGGGGUCCCGGAGGAGCCCCCGGGGCGAGGGCGGACCUACCUGAGCGCCGGGUACUGAAGUCCAGCCGCAGUCACGUAAUAAUCGGGUAUCAGAAAAGACGUCACCACCCCAAUUCCUCAAGGAACACAGUUCUGUGUCGUCCUCGAAGAUGAGCUUAUCAGGAGUCAUAAAGCUUCUCAUAAACACCAACUCAUGCUUCCCCCCAAAAAUAAAAAAGUAAUAAUAAUAAUAAAAAACAAUAAAAACCCAAGCAAUCCCACAAGCUUAAAA
Rhea pennata is the source of this 362-nucleotide long non-coding RNA. RefSeq lists it as uncharacterized. The transcript has 2 exons. NCBI's taxonomy places the organism in Eukaryota, Metazoa, Chordata, Aves, Rheiformes, Rheidae. The record is from RefSeq and is a predicted model, not a curated record.